AUUUCUGAUGGAUAUAAAGAAACAGUACUGCAAGAAAAUAGCAGUAGGUAUCUUGAAACUGGAAUUUUCUCGCUUAAAUGCCUCUAGUGGAGUAGUGUGGUAGCGUUAUCCAGUUUGUCUUGCUGGUUAGCUUCAAAGAAGGUAUAAAUCCUCAUUGGCUUCUGGCAAGUGUGGUUUUUAUCAACCAUCAAGGAGAUAACACAGCAAUAAUACAUUGCAUUGAUGCACCAAGAGUGUAAGAGAUCUUACGCACGGGACUCCAGCUGCUGCUGAUUUGUUGAAGUGAAGUUUCAUCUUAUUACUGGAUUUAGAAAGAAGCUUGUACAUGGUCUCUGUGAGAAACAAAACCUGCAUUUAUCAGCAGGACAUCUAUCCACCAACAUUUGCUUCUUGUGGGGAGGGGUGGACAUUACAGGAAUAUUUGUUUUUUCUUGUGAAAUUACCAUGACUAAUCACUUGUGAGGUCUGCAAAGUUGUAUGGAGUUUAAGCUUCAGGGACGAGAUGUUGCCAAGCAGCGGGGUCCUGCUGGCUAGGAACAGAAAAAAGCUGUCGCAAGCUGCUUCCAUAAUGAUAGUUUGCUGAAUCAUAGUAUGGUUGCUGCAAAGAGCCAAAGAGUACAUAAAGCAUCUUAGUUAUGAUUAAUUCCAUGAUUGCUGGAUAAAAUAAUAGUUAUUCAAGGAGUGGGGAAUGCAAAUUUGUAACUUAUGAGCGAUCUCAAUUGGUGAUAUCUUGUGUGCUAACCAUGCUUCAUUCAUUCAAUCUUCGACAUGCAGACUCCCAGUAAGCUAACUACUGAAGAAUGAGUUCUACAUGAUUGAUGCUAUAGCACUGGGACCCCUGCAAAUGAGUGCCAGGGUAAUUUUCCCAAAUCAAAGGGAAUUUAACUGUCCCCUGCAGAUUUCCGAUUUCAGCGAAAAAUUACUGGGGUUUCAAACAGGCCAAUGCCUGAAUUUAUCAGCGGUUCCAGACUUCCAGUGACACAGAUACGAACAUUUUCUUCGCCACUAUUCUACCGGCGCCGGCCCAGCGACCAUGACCCCACUUUUCUGUUGCGCCUUGCGCGAUUCCCCUGCGCUCUGCUGCGCAGGCUGCGCCUCUGCGUAGCCCCGCCGCCCUCCGCCACAGAAAAUUCACGACGCCUCCGAGCAGCCGUCCUCCGCCACAACUUCGCCAUGGGCGCGCCCUAGCCCCGCCCUUAUUAUCCCCGUCUAUGGCUCCUGCUGCUGCAGCCGCUGACGCCGCCGCGCUGCCCCUCCCAUGGCUCUUCUCGCGCUCCGUUUGGGGCCGCUUCUCCCAGCCCCAACCCACCGCCGUCGGGUCCUCCGGAACCGGUGCCGGGGCCGGAUCGUCGCCUCCAAUGCCACCACGCUCGUGAGGGACGGGGGCGCGGCCGCGGUGGUGUGGUUCAAGCAUGACCUCCGCAUCGACGACCACCCGGGCCUCGCCGCCGCCGUCGCGGAGCCGCGGCGCCCCGUCGUGCCGCUCUACGUCUUCGACCGACGCAUCCUCGCAGGUUAUUCAGAUAAAAUGCUGGAACUGCUGCUAUUUGCUCUGAAAGAUCUUAAGAUGGCGUUGAAAUCUCAGGAGUCUGAUCUGCUCAUAGGCUUGGGAAAUGCUGAAGAUGUUGUGCUGAAGCUUGUGAAUGAGGUGCAAGCAGGUCUUAUUUUUACAGAAGAGGAAGUUGAAUAUAGAGUGCGCAAUGUUCUGGCCAAUGUUGAAUCAUCUUUAUCUAAUGGGUCAUUCUCAUGGGGAAGCCCUCCCAAGAUAGUGGCUUGGAGUGCCCCGUUGUAUGACUAUAAGAAUUUGGAAGAAGUAUCAACGUCACACGACCAAUUUUUAAAGACAAAACUACCAAUGGCCACACCUCUUGCUGCUACAGCUUUGCCUGCUCUAAAUUUGGAGUUAGGCACAGGUUUUCUACCCACUCUGGAAGAAUUAAAAGGUUUCCUGAAAGACAGUAGAACACGAGAGGAUACUUGGGUCCCUCUCAAGAACACGUCUGCAAUAUCUAUUCUAAAAAGGACUCUCAGUCAAAGAAAGAUCAAAAGUAACACUACAUUAAGCACCAGCAGCAAUGGCGAAAACAUAGAGGAUAUCCCCAUGGAUUCUGGUGCAUCAGGAAGGAGAAUUAUGAAUUCAAUGUUUGCAUCUGAAAACUCACUUGAAGUUAGGGGUGGAACAGAUAUUACUUUGGAUGCCUUGGCUGCUUACCUAAGAUACCUCGAAGGCACAGGAAAUGCUAGUUGGCAAGAAUUGCAUGAUAAAGUGCGUUUAGCUGAAACCAGAGAUGGUGCCUCAUUCUACACCUUGUUUGGUCCUGCAAUUCAGCUUGGAGUCAUAUCCAGGAGGAAAGCUUACAAUGAUACUAUUCAAUACGAGAAAGAUCGCAAUGCUGGUUUCCUAUCACCAUUUGGGUACUCAACACCUACAGUGAAAGCAGCAGUAGAUGCUAUAUGUUCGAUGGAGUGGUAUUGGCUCUUGGCAUCAAAAUCCCAAGUAUCUGUUGAGGGAAAUUGUCCUAUAAGAAUUUGGAGAUGGAAGGGUUAUCUUGUACAGUACACUUUUGUUGGCAUCGAAGGUCCAGCCGUUCUUCUUGUGCAUGGUUUUGGAGCUUUCCUGGAGCAUUUUCGUGACAAUAUAGACAACAUUGCUGAUAUGGGCCACCGAGUUUGGGCAAUUACUCUUGUUGGGUUUGGGAAAUCAGAGAAACCAAAUGUCAACUAUUCAGAACUUUUCUGGUCAGAGUUACUGAGAGACUUUAUUAUUGAUGUUGUGAGGGAACCUGUUCAUCUUGUUGGCAACUCUAUUGGAGGCUAUAUCUGUGCCAUUGCUGCUGGUUUAUGGCCUUCUCUUGCAAAGUCUCUGGUUCUUUUAAAUUCAGCUGGUUCGGUUGUUCCAAAUUACCCCUUUGUCCCAUUGAAUGAAGAAAGAAAAACAUCUUGGCUUUCCAGGUUGCAGGCACAGCUUCUUUUGCUCUUCUUGAGAUCAAGAGUAGAGGGCAUUCUUAAAGAAUAUUAUCCUACUAGAACGGGACGGGUGGACAAGCCACUUGUGGACCAGAUUAUAAGAGCUUCUUAUGAUCCUGGUGCUUUAACAGUUCUUGAGAGUGUAUUCAGCUUCAAUCUUUCAAUUCCUCUUAACUUUUUAUUUGAUUCUUUUGGAGGAAAAAUAUUAGUUAUCCAGGGUAUGAAAGAUCCCCUUACAAAAUCUGAGGCGUUUGUUACCAUGCUCCGAGAGCAUUGCAGCAAGGUUCAAAUCAGAGAGUUGAAUGCAGGUCAUGCUCCACAUGAUGAAAUUCCAGAUGAAGUAAAUACCCUACUGUGUGAAUGGACGAAACAGAUUGAAGUUAAACCAGCCCUGGAGAAGACCAAGGCAGUAUAGCUGAUAUUGAGAUGAAACAUACAUGAGAUCAGAAGAAGAAAUAAAAAGCAGCUGUGCAUGUUUCUGGGGCUUGUUUGGAUUGACGACUAGAGCAGAUCUCUAUUGGUUGGGAAGGAAUCUUUCUCGGCACUGGAGCUGGGUUUCAUCAUCCUGAGUAUGCAUUACAUCAGUUGGGAAGCUUCAGCACCAUUCAACGCCAUCUACCAAUCACCGGUGCUUCCAUCCUUUCGCAAGGUCAUGAGACGGCACUGUCACUUUGGUCGCCUUCUCCCAGCCAAAAGAACCCGAGCAUUCCCACUCCCGGACAGCGACUCACCCCCACUGCUCUCCGGAGUGAUAUCACCUCAUGACAGCCCCGCAUCACGCAUGCUGUCACUGUUUCUUUAGCCCCCCUUUCGCUUUGCUGCCCAAUAUUCAGUGCCUUUUCCCGGAGCAAAUCGGCAGUGCUUCCACUAGUCACGACUCACGAGCCCUGGUAAGCAUGAUUAUUUCCAGCCUCAUUUCGCAAUGCUUUAUUUGGGGGCAUCUGAAAAAUCUUUGGGCGAGCACAGACACCCCAUCAACGAGGCCAUAAAACAAAGUUCUGAUUGGGAUCACCCAACCAACCCACCUUAUCUAUUCAGCAAGCUUUCACCAGGGCCCUUGUCCUGGUUUUCACCAAACCUGACAGCCACGCGCCCAGUCCGUCCAUGGCCGCCUCCAAAGGAUGUCAGGUUGCAGGUGACCACGUCAUCUCGACAAGGCUACUGACCUCUUCUUCUUCGCUCUAAUGAUAGGCCCUGGGAGUCGCCUGCACCCGUCCAUGGCCACAACUUGGAGUCCAGUCCUGUACCACUCCUGCUGCCCUCCCCCGUCUUUGCUCGCUCUACAAGCCUCCUCGGAAUUGUUAAAGAUUCUGUUGCUGUCGCCCGUGUCCCGUUGGUCCAAUCGCCCGGGGGAUGUUACAAGCUAUAGCUCGUGCGCCACCAGCUGCUGCGCCCUUGCUGUCCGCUUCAAGCCGAGUGCGCCCUCGUGUCGCUGGAUUUCUUGGCGAGUUCUUACGCUAGCGCCUCGGGUACCGACGUGUGUUGGCGCAGAUUGGGCGACAGAAUCCGGGCAAAUGCGCUGCCGGAUGGUGAAACUUCUGGAGCUCUCCCACAGUACAGUGUAGUAGGGCACACCUUUAAAAAAAAUGGAUAUGGACAUGUGGUGAAGCCGUGAAGUUUUCUUACUCUAGCAGUUGUUACUAUCACAAUGAUAUGGUAGAGCUCACAAGUUUCCGCACUUCCGAGCUCUCUGUUUUGCUUCAAAUCAAACAAACAUAUAUUUUUGUGAA
Panicum hallii is the source of this 4697-nucleotide RNA transcript. RefSeq lists it as uncharacterized. The transcript is spliced from 19 exons. The record is from RefSeq and is a predicted model, not a curated record. Lineage: Eukaryota; Viridiplantae; Streptophyta; Magnoliopsida; Poales; Poaceae.